AGUGAACGCUGGCGGUAGGCCUAACACAUGCAAGUCGAACGGCAGCACAGUAAGAGCUUGCUCUUACGGGUGGCGAGUGGCGGACGGGUGAGGAAUACAUCGGAAUCUACUUUUUCGUGGGGGAUAACGUAGGGAAACUUACGCUAAUACCGCAUACGACCUACGGGUGAAAGCAGGGGAUCUUCGGACCUUGCGCGAUUGAAUGAGCCGAUGUCGGAUUAGCUAGUUGGCGGGGUAAAGGCCCACCAAGGCGACGAUCCGUAGCUGGUCUGAGAGGAUGAUCAGCCACACUGGAACUGAGACACGGUCAAGACUCCUAAGGGAGGCAGCAGUGGGGAAUAUUGGACAAUGGGCGCAAGCCUGAUCCAGCCAUACCGAGUGGGUGAAGAAGGCCUUCGGGUUGUAAAGCCCUUUUGUUGGGAAAGAAAAGCAGCAGGUUAAUACCCCGCUGUUCUGACGGUACCCAAAGAAUAAGCACCGGCUAACUUCGUG
RNAcentral lists this ribosomal RNA (492 nucleotides) under uncultured bacterium. RNAcentral describes it as "partial 16S ribosomal RNA". It matches the Rfam family "Bacterial small subunit ribosomal RNA", at positions 29 to 507 of the family's 1533-position model. The record is from RNAcentral.